UACAGAGACUGCAAGCGUUAUUCGGAUUCACUGGGCGUAAAGGGUGCGCAGGCGGUUGGGUGUGUCAGAUGUGAAAUCCCGAGGCUUAACCUCGGAACUGCGUCUGAAACUACUCGACUAGAGUACUGGAGAGGGUAACGGAAUUCACGGUGUAGCAGUGAAAUGCGUAGAUAUCGUGAGGAACACCAGAGGCGAAGGCGGGUCUCUGGGCCGAUACUGACGCUGAGGAGCGAAAGCGUGGGGAGCGAACAGG
RNAcentral lists this ribosomal RNA (253 nucleotides) under uncultured bacterium. RNAcentral's name for it is "partial 16S ribosomal RNA". It matches the Rfam family "Bacterial small subunit ribosomal RNA", at positions 524 to 776 of the family's 1533-position model. The record is from RNAcentral.